RNAcentral lists this ribosomal RNA (468 nucleotides) under uncultured bacterium. Its description in RNAcentral is "partial 16S ribosomal RNA". It matches the Rfam family "Bacterial small subunit ribosomal RNA", at positions 28 to 507 of the family's 1533-position model. The record is from RNAcentral.
GACGAACGCUGGCGGCGUGCUUAACACAUGCAAGUCGAACGGAAAGGCCCUGCUUUUGUGGGGUGCUCGAGUGGCGAACGGGUGAGUAACACGUGAGUAACCUGCCCUUGACUUUGGGAUAACUUCAGGAAACUGGGGCUAAUACCGGAUAGGAGCUCCUGCUGCAUGGUGGGGGUUGGAAAGUUUCGGCGGUUGGGGAUGGACUCGCGACUUAUCAGCUUGUUGGUGGGGUAGUGGCUUACCAAGGCUUUGACGGGUAGCCGGCCUGAGAGGGUGACCGGCCACAUUGGGACUGAGAUACGGCCCAGACUCCUACGGGAGGCAGCAGUGGGGGAUAUUGCACAAUGGGCGGAAGCCUGAUGCAGCAACGCCGCGUGCGGGAUGACGGCCUUCGGGUUGUAAACCGCUUUCGCCUGUGACGAAGCGUGAGUGACGGUAAUGGGUAAAGAAGCACCGGCUAACUACGUG